GGCGGACGGGUGAGUAAUGUCUGGGAAACUGCCUGAUGGAGGGGGAUAACUACUGGAAACGGUAGCUAAUACCGCAUAACGUCGCAAGACCAAAGAGGGGGACCUUCGGGCCUCUUGCCAUCAGAUGUGCCCAGAUGGGAUUAGCUAGUAGGUGGGGUAACGGCUCACCUAGGUGACGAUCCCUAGCUGGUCUGAGAGGAUGACCAGCCACACUGGAACUGAGACACGGUCCAGACUCCUACGGGAGGCGCAUG
RNAcentral lists this ribosomal RNA (254 nucleotides) under uncultured bacterium. Its description in RNAcentral is "partial 16S ribosomal RNA". It matches the Rfam family "Bacterial small subunit ribosomal RNA", at positions 97 to 349 of the family's 1533-position model. The record is from RNAcentral.